Molecule: microRNA precursor, 95 nt
Filed under: Macacine gammaherpesvirus 4 (Rhesus lymphocryptovirus)
Lineage: Duplodnaviria; Heunggongvirae; Peploviricota; Herviviricetes; Herpesvirales; Orthoherpesviridae
Description: microRNA rlcv-mir-rL1 precursor (rlcv-mir-rL1-34)
Gene: rlcv-mir-rL1-34
Source: miRBase by way of RNAcentral
CAAACAAGGCUGUAGCCUUUAGAUGGCGUAACAGGCAACUUGUGUAUGAGGCCAAGUUAGCCCGAACCGCUAUCCAUAUGCUGCUGCUCCAUCUC